AUAACCCGUACGAAUCGUUUUGUUGUUGCUGCAAAUCAGCCAUACCGGUAAUGCGGUAAUGGGUUCAUGACUUCUAAAUUAAGUGUCCGUGAAAAAUAAGCUCUACAUGAUUUUUAACCCCCCAUAACAAUUACCAAAAUAGCAAGAAAACUUCAUGUGGACCAUCAUGACAGCUUUUGGUCAUUCUCGACUAAAGUGGGGGGCAUGAAGGCUUGGCCUUUGAAGUUAUACUUCUAUUUACAAUGAAAAUUCAAAUAAAUAUAAUUUAAAUAAGCAAUGAGUUAGCAUGUUCACCAAUCCUUAUGUGGAGGGAUGGUAUACUUUCGAUCACGCUUCACUGUACGGCGUACGCACGGUUUGUGAUGGUGAAAUUUCCUCCAUGGUUCAAUUUUCAUCCAUGGAGAUCCCUGAUAGGUCAAUGUACAGCCUUCAACAUGGAGCCUUGGCUCACACCGAACAACAAGCUAUAAAGGGCCCCAAAAUUACUAGUGUAAAACCAUUCAAACGGAAAAACCAACGGUCUA
RNAcentral lists this long non-coding RNA (524 nucleotides) under Mytilus galloprovincialis (Mediterranean mussel). Lineage: Eukaryota; Metazoa; Mollusca; Bivalvia; Mytilida; Mytilidae. The record is from RNAcentral.